RNAcentral lists this ribosomal RNA (276 nucleotides) under uncultured bacterium. RNAcentral describes it as "partial 16S ribosomal RNA". It matches the Rfam family "Bacterial small subunit ribosomal RNA", at positions 525 to 796 of the family's 1533-position model. The record is from RNAcentral.
ACGUAGGGCGCAAGCGUUGUCCGGAAUUAUUGGGCGUAAAGAGCUCGUAGGCGGUUUGUCGCGUCUGCUGUGAAAGCCCGGGGCUCAACCCCGGGUCUGCAGUGGGUACGGGCAGACUAGAGUGCAGUAGGGGAGACUGGAAUUCCUGGUGUAGCGGUGAAAUGCGCAGAUAUCAGGAGGAACACCGAUGGCGAAGGCAGGUCUCUGGGCUGUUACUGACGCUGAGGGAAGCUGGAAAGCAGUAGGGAGCGAACAUGGAUUACCGACCCGUAGUCC